Molecule: ribosomal RNA, 471 nt
Filed under: uncultured bacterium
Lineage: Bacteria
Description: bacterial SSU rRNA
Rfam family: Bacterial small subunit ribosomal RNA
Source: RNAcentral
AGGACGAACGCUGGCGGCGUGCCUAACACAUGCAAGUCGAGCGGGGUCCAUCCGGUAGCAAUACCGGGGAAGACCUAGCGGCGAACGGGUGAGUAACACGUGAGAAACCUGCCCCGAAGUCUGGGAUAACCCGAGGAAACUCGAGCUAAUACCGGAUGUCUUCUUCUGAUCGCAUGGUCGGAUGAAGAAAGAUUUAUCGCUUCGGGAGGGUCUCGCGGCCUAUCAGCCAGUUGCGGGGUAACGGCCCACCAAGGCGUCGACGGGUAGCUGGUCUGAGAGGACGAUCAGCCACACUGGGACUGAGACACGGCCCAGACUCCUACGGGAGGCAGCAGUGGGGAAUAUUGCGCAAUGGGCGAAAGCCUGACGCAGCAACGCCGCGUGCGGGAUGAAGGCCUUCGGGUUGUAAACCGCUUUCAGUGGGGACGAAUUCAGACGGUACCCACAGAAGAAGCCCCGGCCAACUACGUG